GGGAGAUGAUGAGCGGUAAAAGCUCGCGGGAUGCGAGUGGGGCGUCCGCCCCAGUAAGCCUGUUACGACAACAGGGGCGCUCAAAUCUUUUACCAAUCUGAUCCC
This is a small nucleolar RNA of Phoenix dactylifera (date palm), 105 nucleotides long. RefSeq annotates it as small nucleolar RNA Z279/snoR105/snoR108. Lineage: Eukaryota; Viridiplantae; Streptophyta; Magnoliopsida; Arecales; Arecaceae. The record is from RefSeq and is a predicted model, not a curated record.